AGCGAACGCUGGCGGCAGGCCUAACACAUGCAAGUCGAACGAACUCUUCGGAGUUAGUGGCGGACGGGUGAGUAACACGUGGGAACGUGCCUUUUGGUUCGGAAUAACUCAGGGAAACUUGUGCUAAUACCGAAUGUGCCCUUCGGGGGAAGGAUUUAUCGCAAUUAGAGCGGCCCGCGUCUGAUUAGCUAGUUGGUGAGGUAACGGCUCACCAAGGCGACGAUCAGUAGCUGGUCUGAGAGGAUGACCAGCCACACUGGGACUGAGACACGGCCCAGACUCCUACGGGAGGCAGCAGUGGGGAAUCUUGCGCAAUGGGCGAAAGCCUGACGCAGCCAUGCCGCGUGAAUGAUGAAGGUCUUAGGAUUGUAAAAUUCUUUCACCGGGGACGAUAAUGACGGUACCCGGAGAAGAAGCCCCGGCUAACUUCGUG
This 433-nucleotide ribosomal RNA is filed under the name uncultured bacterium. RNAcentral describes it as "partial 16S ribosomal RNA". It matches the Rfam family "Bacterial small subunit ribosomal RNA", at positions 29 to 507 of the family's 1533-position model. The record is from RNAcentral.